Oxyura jamaicensis (ruddy duck) is the source of this 498-nucleotide long non-coding RNA. RefSeq lists it as uncharacterized. The record is from RefSeq and is a predicted model, not a curated record. Lineage: Eukaryota; Metazoa; Chordata; Aves; Anseriformes; Anatidae. The transcript is spliced from 3 exons.
UGUGACUAUCUUCUAUAGCGUCUACAAAUGGAGAUUUCUCUGUUGACCGGAAACUGGGCUAUUAGAUGGAUCACAGGUGGCAUUUAUCUGUCAAAUAGGCCUUGAUACUACCUCUCCUAGGGUGGAAUGCCCUGUGCUUUCAGGUUAGUAAGGUUAUUUUGUUCUGUGUGGCAUCACCCUGCUAACCUCUGAUCAUUGUGUCCUGGCUCUAAGCAGAGAGUUCAGAUCAAGGUAAAUAAACUUGAGCAUUAUCUGAUGCUGGAUUAUGUAGCCCUGCAGUCAUUCAGCUGCAACCUCUACAGUAACCUUCGCGUACACCCUUAUGUCAAAAUGGCAUGCUUGCUUACCCAUUUACCAGGUUAAAGAAGGAAACUGGUGUGACUUUAGAUAGUCAUUUCAUUUCUAUGUGCCUCUGUUCUGUCAUUUAAAAACAGGAAUAUGGAUAAUAAACAAUAGCAGAAUGUUAUUGAGUCAUUCACAUUUAUAAAGCCCUUUGAU